AACGAACGCUGGCGGCAGGCUUAACACAUGCAAGUCGAACGCCUGUAGCAAUACAGGAGUGGCAGACGGGUGAGUAUCACGUGGGAACGUGCCCAAAGGUACGGAACAACUCCGGGAAACUGGAGCUAAUACCGUAUGUGCCCGAAAGGGGAAAGAUUUAUCGCCUUUGGAUCGGCCCGCGUCUGAUUAGCUAGUUGGUGGGGUAAUGGCCUACCAAGGCGACGAUCAGUAGCUGGUCUGAGAGGAUGGCCAGCCACACUGGGACUGAGACACGGCCCAGACUCCUACGGGAGGCAGCAGUGGGGAAUAUUGGACAAUGGGCGCAAGCCUGAUCCAGCCAUGCCGCGUGAGUGAUGAAGGCCUUAGGGUUGUAAAGCUCUUUCGCCAGGGACGAUAAUGACGGUACCUGGAUAAGAAGCCCCGGCUAACUUCGUGCCAGCAGCCGCCGUAA
RNAcentral lists this ribosomal RNA (451 nucleotides) under uncultured bacterium. RNAcentral's name for it is "partial 16S ribosomal RNA". It matches the Rfam family "Bacterial small subunit ribosomal RNA", at positions 29 to 523 of the family's 1533-position model. The record is from RNAcentral.